UCCAGACUCCUACGGGAGGCAGCAGUGGGGGAUAUUGCACAAUGGGGGAAACCCUGAUGCAGCGACGCCGCGUGGGUGAAGAAGUAUUUCGGUAUGUAAAGCCCUAUCAGCAGGGAAGAAAGAAGACGGUACCUGACUAAGAAGCCCCGGCUAACUACGUGCCAGCAGCCGCGGUAAUACGUAGGGGGCGAGCGUUAUCCGGAUUCACUGGGUGUAAAGGGAGCGUAGACGGCCGUGCAAGCCAGGAGUGAAAGCCCGGGGCCCAACCCCGGGACUGCUCUUGGAACUGUGCGGCUGGAGUGCGGGAGGGGCAGGCGGAAUUCCUGGUGUAGCGGUGAAAUGCGUAGAUAUCAGGAGGGACACCGGCGGCGAAGGCGGCCUGCUGGACCGCGACUGACGUUGAGGCUCGAAAGCGUGGGGAGCGAACAGGAUUAGAUACCCGGGUAA
Molecule: ribosomal RNA, 447 nt
Filed under: uncultured bacterium
Lineage: Bacteria
Description: bacterial SSU rRNA
Rfam family: Bacterial small subunit ribosomal RNA
Source: RNAcentral